CCUGUCCUACGGGGCGCAGCAGUGGGGAAUAUUGCACAAUGGGGGAAACCCUGAUGCAGCGACGCCGCGUGAGUGAAGAAGUAUUUCGGUAUGUAAAGCUCUAUCAGCAGGGAAGAUAAUGACGGUACCUGACUAAGAAGCUCCGGCUAAAUACGUGCCAGCAGCCGCGGUAAUACGUAGGGGGCAAGCGUUAUCCGGAAUCACUGGGUGUAAAGGGAGCGUAGACGGCUGAGCAAGCCUGAAGUGAAAGGCGGGGGCCCAACCCCCGGACUGCUUUGGGAACUGUACGGCUGGAGUGCAGGGGG
RNAcentral lists this ribosomal RNA (305 nucleotides) under uncultured bacterium. RNAcentral describes it as "bacterial SSU rRNA". It matches the Rfam family "Bacterial small subunit ribosomal RNA", at positions 333 to 655 of the family's 1533-position model. The record is from RNAcentral.